Molecule: ribosomal RNA, 480 nt
Filed under: uncultured bacterium
Lineage: Bacteria
Description: bacterial SSU rRNA
Rfam family: Bacterial small subunit ribosomal RNA
Source: RNAcentral
AGAGUUUGAUCCUGGCUCAGAACGAACGCUGGCGGCAUGCCUUAUACAUGCAAGUCGAACGAGAAAGUCACUUCGGUGGCGAGUAGAGUGGCGCACGGGUGAGUAACGCGUAGAUGAUCUACCCUUCAGUCUGGGACAACUCUUGGAAACGGGAGCUAAUACCGGAUAAAACCUUCGGGUUGAAAGAUUUAUCGCUGGGGGAUGAGUCUGCGUACCAUUAGCUUGUUGGUGGGGUAACGGCCUACCAAGGCGACGAUGGUUAGCGGGUCUGAGAGGAUGAUCCGCCACACUGGAACUGAGACACGGUCCAGACUCCUACGGGAGGCAGCAGUAGGGAAUAUUGCGCAAUGGGGGCAACCCUGACGCAGCAAUGCCGCGUGAGUGAAGAAGGCCUUCGGGUCGUAAAGCUCUUUUAUGGGGGAAGAUGAUGACGGUACCCCAUGAAUAAGCACCGGCUAACUACGUGCCAGCAGCCGCGGU